This is a non-coding RNA of Prunus avium (sweet cherry), 505 nucleotides long. The record is from RefSeq and is a predicted model, not a curated record. NCBI's taxonomy places the organism in Eukaryota, Viridiplantae, Streptophyta, Magnoliopsida, Rosales, Rosaceae.
CGUCUUCUCCCUUUCUCCUCCCCUGUGUUUCGACCGACACCGACAAAACCCCCCAGCCACUGUCACGUCGGCCACCCAGCCACCGGACCGGUUAUGUUUUGACCGGCGUCGCACCCCAAGCCAGCUCCGACCUUCCUCCUACCUCUGCUGCUGCUGUUUUGCCGGAAAACCUCGAUUUUGAUCGGAUUUUUACUCGGUUUUCCAAUCCCUCGAUCUCUCUCCUCCGGCCCUCAAAUCCUUCGAUUGAGUUGGUGUUUCCCAAGGGUCUCAAUUCAGCUCCAGGAAGGCCAAGGGUGGCUCCAAGUAGUCCGGUCAUUUUCGAUGUGAGUUUAGAAUACGUACCAGGCCUUGAAAUUGAGGAAGAUGAAUAAGGGGCAACGAAGUUGGUCCCAUGCAGACGGUGGCGGUCGGUAACAGCGGUUGCUGGCUGGCGGCGCUGGAGUCCGGCGGUGGUAGGUGGCCGGUGGCGAUAGGUGGCCGGCGGUGAAAGGUGGUCGGAGGUGGC